Molecule: antisense RNA, 75 nt
Filed under: Micromonospora nigra
Lineage: Bacteria; Bacillati; Actinomycetota; Actinomycetes; Micromonosporales; Micromonosporaceae
Description: ASpks TB sRNA
Rfam family: ASpks TB sRNA
Source: Rfam by way of RNAcentral
CUUGACCGAGCCGAGCAGCAGCGGGCCGCCGUCGCCCCGGUCCUGCCCGUAGGUGGCCAGCAGCGCCUGCGCCUC